CUUAACAGAAAUACCAGAGUGAAUGAACCCAGUCUUGUCUGGUCUUGGAACUAAGCAAGCUUGGGUUUACCUAGUACUUGGCCAGGAGAAAAUCUGUGAAAC
Molecule: ribosomal RNA, 102 nt
Filed under: Crocodylus porosus (Australian saltwater crocodile)
Lineage: Eukaryota; Metazoa; Chordata; Crocodylia; Crocodylidae
Source: RNAcentral